RNAcentral lists this ribosomal RNA (447 nucleotides) under uncultured bacterium. RNAcentral's name for it is "partial 16S ribosomal RNA". It matches the Rfam family "Bacterial small subunit ribosomal RNA", at positions 29 to 523 of the family's 1533-position model. The record is from RNAcentral.
AACGAACGCUGUCGGCAGGCCUACCACAUGCAAGUCGAACGCUGCGCAAGUGAAGUGGCGCACGGGUGAGUAACACGUGGGAACAUGCCAUUAGGUGCGGAACAACAGUUGGAAACGACUGCUACUUCCGUAUGAUAUCGAGAGAUCAAAGAGUUAUCGCCUAAGGAUCGGCCCGCGGAAGAGUAGGAGGUUGGUGGGGUAAAGGCCAACAAAGUCUGCGAUCUAUAGCUGGUCUUAGUGGAUGAUUGGCCACACUGGAACGGAGACACGGUCAGGACUCCUACGGGAGGCGGGAGUGAGGAAUAUUGGACAAUGGGGGCAACCCUGGUCCAGCCAUGCCGGGUGAAUGAUGAAGGCCUUGGAGUUGUAAAGUUCUUUUAGCUGUGACGAUAAUGACGGUAGCAGCAGAAAAAGCCCCGGCUAACUCCGUGCCAGCAGCCGCCGUAA